UUUUUUUUUUUUUUUUUUUUUUUUGCUUUUUCUUUGUUUUAUGGUGAUUUUUACUUUUUCAAGUAGCUUGUUAAAGGAGAAAUCAGAAAUGCACAUGAUUGUUUUAUACAGAGGUAUAAAGCUAUAAAAGAAUGUGUUGACUGAUUCAGCUAACUUAGAAAAUAAACCAGGCAUAAGUUUUUAGAUGAUUUAAUUACAUGGUGUUUAGAGCUACUUACCUAUGGAUUGAUUCAAUUGCUUUCACGUAUCAUAAGCUUAGGUAGAUAGCUUUUAGCUAACAUUCAUUUGAUAAGCAUAGUGUUUUAAAAAUUUUCUGACUUAUGUAAGUAUUCUUUCAUUUUACUUUUAAAGGAGAAGAAAUAUUCUAAUUUUAUAUUUAUUAAGAAUAUUUUCUCUACUGAAAUUGUAACUUUUAAAAAAUUGAGGUAAAUGGAAUAAUGGUCUAUAAUUUUUUUAGUUUCUAAAGAUUAUUUUCUUUGGAAAAAUCUCAAGAUUUUUGGAUGGGCAAGAAAUUUAAAGUAAUUUCUUUAAUUGUUUUAAAAUUAGACCAUAGCACAGUGGCGGAAGUCAGGAUACCAGGAUAUGCCUGAGUAUGAAAAUUUCCGCCACCUUCUGCAAGCCCCAGUGGAUGAUGCACAGGAAAUUCUUCACUCCAGAUUUCCAAUGCCAAGAUACAUUGACACUGAACAUGGAGGCAGCCAGGUAAGUAGUGUUAAUUUGUUUGUGUGUUUGUUUGUUGUUAGGUUUGCAGUGAGGUGUACCUGCUUGCCUUCUGAUUUUAAUAGAUUGCUUCAUAAAGCAGACAGAAAGGUAAGGAGAUAGGUGGGGAAGGUAUCAGUGCUUACUUUUUGCAUUAGCUUUUGAGAGCAAAACAGUAAGAUUAUUGACUAGUUGCCUAAACCUGGCACUUUCCAUCAUCUUCUGUCUCUAGCCUAGCUUCCUGAACAGGGCCAGGAUGGCAUUGUGGUGGUAUACUAGCUUUGGUUGAACAAGAAAAUGUGAACAGCUUGGAAAGUAAUAUACUUUUCUUAAAGCCGUUUAUUUACUGUUAAAGUCUAUGAAUAUGACAUUUGUGGUAACUUACAUUUUUUCAUUGUCUUCAUUCUAUCAUUCCAAUUUUCUAGAAAAUAAAAUUUUAUGUAAUAGGAAAACACUGUAGUAUUAUGAAAAGGUUUUGUGGCUUUUAGGAUUUUGAGGAUACAUAUACGUUAGAUACAUAUACAUACAUACACAGUUGCUUUGAGACCUUCAGAAGGCUAAGUUAGGUUCCUUAACAUACUCUCAUAAAAUACUUCUUACUUCUCUUUUGUAAUUCUUAUAAGAGUUAUAAUAAAUUAAUUAUAAGUUGUUAUUAAUUUGUUUUACAUGCUCUUUGAAGGCAGGGACUAUGCUUUGUAUUCCCUAGUGCCUAGUACGGUAUUAUAAAAUAGGUAGCAAAUAUCAGUAACUGUUAUUCAGAAAUGAUAAUUACUAUUAGUUUUACUGUAUUUAUAUGAGAGUUAUUUCAUAUUGAGAAUUUGCAAAGUACUUCUGCAUGCCUUAUCUCAUUUGAUCCUCAUAAGAAUUCUAGUGUUAUUUUCAUUUAACAGAUAAUAAAACUGAGAUCUAGGUUACUUAUGGCCAAGGGAACACAGUAAAUACAGGAGUGGGAUUUGAGUCCUGGUACUCCAGGGCCAGUGCUCUUCACUGUUAGGUUAAACUGAUUCCUUAGAGAGUAGAAAAAGAUUUUGUAUGAUACUAAAUUUCAAAAGAUGUUACUGUCUAUGUGCUUCCAUUAUGAGUUAAAAAUCUUACUGGUUCUUUCAUUGAUGUCUCACUGUGUGUAUUACCAUUUUCCUCUUUUAUUCUGGUUAUUAUUUUCAUGAUGAUAAGCCAUAGUGGGUAGAAGGAUAAAAUGUUGGAUCACUUGUCUCAUAGAAUCACCUGUGGUUUAAGAAAGCUUAAGGGUCAUUAUUUUAAGCAAAAGAACAUACAGAUUUUCAUGGCUUUUGUUUUUAUCAUUAUUUGGGAUUUUGAACUUCUGACCAAGUGUUUAGUAAUUUCACACCAACCUUGUCAUAAUUGUUGCACACAUAAUUUUUAUAUGCUGAGUUUUGGACUCAACAAUGUAUUUGUUAUUUUGGAUGUAUGAUUUGGAGAGAAGAGGUGCAUUUAUUAUUUAUUUGUAACACUUAGUGACCUAUACAUUUCAAAGUUUAAUCUUUUAAAAAUUAAGUUAAUAAAAUUAAUUUUACCAACACAUACUAAAUAAAAUUGAUUUUGCAUGAUAUAAUUAUUCAGCUGAUAUUGACUGAAACCAUUUUUGAUGGAUAAUGUUAUUUCUUCUUUGCUUUUAAGGCCCGUUUCCUCCUUUCAAAAGUCAACCCUUCACAGACUCAUAAUAAUAUGUAUGCCUGGGGGCAGGAGUCUGGAGCACCUAUUCUUACAGAUGAUGUUAGUUUACAAGUGUUUAUGGAUCACUUGAAGAAACUUGCUGUGUCCAGUGCUGCUUGAAGUGCUAAUAAUGUUAAAGACACUUAAGAAGAUGAAAUAAUAUUCAAAUUUCAUUUUUUCCUUUUUCCAUUUAUCUGUGGAAACCAACAGAUAUUGCUCUAUAUUUUUUGUAUUAGUAUGGUUUGAGACAACAUAUGGAAAAUGUUCACAUUUGUAGAUUAAGCUGGAAUUAUAAUGAGAGCAAUAAGAACAAAUUUAUUUUGCUUACCACAGUGUUAUAGCUGGUUCUAGAAAUUUGAAGUCUUUAUAACUUAAUUAUGUUUAAUAAAAAAUAGAGUCUGCCUCGUACUACAGAUGUAACUCAUUUGUAUAUUGCAGACAGACCCAAAGUGGCACUGAAUUUUCUUGCUCACCUUUUAAAAACUUGUUCCUUAAUUUUAGCCAGAAAGCAAAAAAACAAUAGUAAUGAUAAAUGUGAACAUUUUUGCUUAUUCAUUGAAUAUUUUUCUGUAAUUUUCAGCACUUAUGUAUACACUUUUUCUGUACUUACUAGGUUAAGGCAGAUUUAUUUUUAUGAUUUGUUUAGGAAUUAUUUGAUUUUAUAAUGGUAAUUUUCAUGAUGAUAAUGUUUUUGGUUAUUUGGAAAGAUAGUUUAGAGAUGAAAGGUUUUUUUGGGUAACAAUCCCGCAGCUGACAAAAAAUGUGAAAUUUCCACAAAAUAUCCAACUUAUGUGACUAAACGCAGUAGUUUUUUUAAAAGGGGAGAUAGAAAAUAAAUGGUUUUGUUGGAGUGCAUUUUAGUAAGCCUUUGCAGUAAAAUGACGGUUGUAACUACUAAACCAAAUUUAGUUUUCACAGCAUGGUUUUGUUGUUUUCCCCUUGUUUUUCAGAGGUAAAUUUUGCAUUAUAUCCUUCAGUAUUUUAACACUAUUUUGGCAGUUUACACAUUACUUUUUGUUUUUCCUUCCUUUUUGUGAAAUGUAUUAAGUUGUGGUUCUUAUUGAAACAGUAUUAUAUAAUGUUUGCUUAAUUAUAUCAUGUGAUGCUCAGUUCUAUUUUGAUUUAUUCAUUAGUAUUCACUUUUACCUUUAAAGUUUACUUGUAGCAAAUAUGUUUACAUUGAUAAAGCCAGAUAUGUUUUGACAAUGAAAUUUACAUAUCAAGUACUGCAAAUAAAAGGUGGUGCUAUGAUAUAUGCUUAGGAGGACAGUUUUAAUGAUUGUACUUGCAUGAACACAAUCAUAUGAUGGUAAAGCAGAAACUUAAGAAAAAAUUGUUUAUGUGUUAUAUUCAAUUAGCUUAAAUAAGUUGCUUUGUUAUAUUUUAUUUGAAUUGAACUACGCUAGGCCUAAAUGCCAAUAAAAUAUACUUUUCACUGUU
RNAcentral lists this long non-coding RNA (3813 nucleotides) under Homo sapiens (human). Its description in RNAcentral is "non-protein coding lnc-SEC23A-2:1". Lineage: Eukaryota; Metazoa; Chordata; Mammalia; Primates; Hominidae. The record is from RNAcentral.